This is a long non-coding RNA of Salvia splendens (bonfire salvia), 1385 nucleotides long. RefSeq lists it as uncharacterized. The transcript is spliced from 2 exons. Lineage: Eukaryota; Viridiplantae; Streptophyta; Magnoliopsida; Lamiales; Lamiaceae. The record is from RefSeq and is a predicted model, not a curated record.
CUUUUCUUUUCUUCUCUGCUAAUAAAUAUCUAUGGUAAUGUGUUUUGAUCCACAUCUUGAAUUUGGAUUCAGAUUCACUUUGCAGUGUGAAGUCAUAAGGUAUUCUUCUUGUUCAUAUUGUAUCAAUCAUUUUCAUUCAGCUAAUGCUGGAGUUACAAGAAUAAUUGAUCUAAAACUAUAUAUUUUUUAACCUUUUAAUAUGUCUAUGUUAUGCUAGAAAAUCAGAUUUAAAUAAUAUGCCUGUUUGUUUGAGAAAAUAGGAACUUCAUUGAGAUCAGAAUAGCAUGAGAUUGAGAAAUGUGUUAGUAGUUAGCAUUGAGGGAUGGUCUAAAAGAGCUUCUUUCAGCCCACUCAUGGCUGAGAUUUGGGGUUGAACUAGCUGCCGACUCAUUCGUUUAACCAUUCCGUAGAAUGCAAGGACCUUGUGCUACUGUGGUUGAGUGAAUGAUGCGGGAGAUAGUUUCACGUCCCUCUCCGUCUAUGCUUGGACUGAAGGGAGCUCCUCUUGCUGUUCCCUUCAUCGCCUUGUUUCAAUGUCAUAUCUAGUGUUUAAUAACUUGAAGUCAUGUUGCCUUCGUUGUUUGCUGCGUUCGUUAAAAUUUUGUUGUUGUUGCUGCUGUUAAUUUGUAGAUAAAAUGGUUGUAAAUUUCUGUGAAUUGAUUGGAAUCUCUGUUUGAUUCCCUCUCUGGUUCCUGCAUUGGCUAAUUCUACUUCAGAAAAUGGGAUUUCAUACUUCAUACUAUUGAAUUGCUUCCUUACAACCAUAGAUUCAUCAUUGACUAAUUUCGAGAUUGUAUGUUACUCUUUGCCAAAACGAAAUCCACCCAAGUAGUAUCAACAAUGCUAGACGGUGCGAGUGGAGUCCUUCAUGGUGUUGCCUUUUUCAGCUCAUAUUAGUUCCCCUUUUCGCCAAGCCCGUUUUCUAUUUACAACUUCCUAGGUUUUCUUUUACAGAUUCACUUUAUUCUCGGUAUAGCCAGGAUACCGUUUACCAUCGGUUUUACAUCAGAAGAUGAUGAGUUUCUACCACCAUGGUGUUGAUUGUUAAGUCUAUUUUAGAAGUUUUUAGUACUACAUGUUAUGGUGCAGUGUAUAAGUGCGAAUCCGGCCCACCAUGGCUUUAGAGGUUCCGGCCCACCAUGGCUUUAGAGGUUCGUUGUGGACUAUCUACGAUGGCUCAGCCUAUUUCGAAUCAAAGUUAUCGAAUUCUAGAAACAGGAGGAGGGUGGUGGUGGUGGUGGUGUGGUGUGUUGCAUUAUUAGGGCUUAUUGUGUGAAGAGAUAAGAUAGAUAAUCACAUAAUGGAGGAUCUUGGUGGUCCUGGUUGAAGAAAUGUGGUGAUGGUACAGGUUUUUAUUUGAAUGCAACUCAAAGUUUGGAGCAGUA